This is a long non-coding RNA of Labeo rohita (rohu), 5478 nucleotides long. RefSeq lists it as uncharacterized. The record is from RefSeq and is a predicted model, not a curated record. Lineage: Eukaryota; Metazoa; Chordata; Actinopteri; Cypriniformes; Cyprinidae. The transcript has 5 exons.
UCUGCACAGCAAAAUAUGCCUUGGAAAUGGUUUUCCCUUAAUAGUUCUUCAACUUUAUUUGUUUUCCUUUGUGAAUGGAUUUGCCUUAAGCUUACUUGGGUUUAUUUAACAGAAAAGUAGGCCACUGAAGAAAUGUCAGAAUGCAUUUAUGCUGUUUUACUGCUUCCCUUGACAAUCUGAGGAACAAAAUGUGAUAGGGCAAAUGAAACAAGUGGUGAGGAAAGAAAUGUCACAUUUCAGGAACUUCAGCUGAUCUGCUUACUUGAAAAAUGAUCAGAGUUUGCCUAUAUGCCAUUAAAAUCAAAAGUGACUAUUAAAAAGUGAUUUAAUCCGCAGGGUAUCUGCAAGAUUUAAAAAAAAAAAAAAUAAAUCAAACUGAAGACUUUUUCAAGACUUUUUUAAAACCUACACAAAUAAAAUGAGUACCAUAUGAGUGGAAUACACUGCGUAACUUUAUUGAGUCAACUUAAUAAUUGUUACCCUGCUGUCUUAAAAUUUUAAGUUCAGUCAACUCAAAAAAGUUCAGUCAUCUUGAAAUGUUAAGUUUUACUAAAUGACAACUUAGAUAUUUAUGUUGACUCAUCUUACAAUUUUAAGGAAGCUGGGUAACAAACAGCUUUUACAUUUAAAAAAGUAAUUUUUUUGUUAAGUCAACUCGAAUAUCCAAGUUGUCACUUAACAAAUUGUGUGUGUGUGUUUUUACAGUAGCUCAAACCGUAAAAUGACUGUAAAAAGGUUGAUUUACCAUUCAAGUACAGGUUUUCACAAAAAGUUUUAUAAAAUGAUAAACUUUACAUUUAAGCCUUCAAACCAUUUUAAGAAAAGGAACGAGUCAAAAGUAUCAAUUAUACUGAUUUAAACAAUUCUAAAAUUCUAAAAUGUAAUAACAAAUAUGUAAUAUAUAAUGCAUUAGCAUAGCUUCUUGUCGAGCUUGUCACAUUUACAAUUGCAUGUUUGCUGUGUAAAAACAUGGGCCGAUUUUCGCAUUGGUCUGAACAGACGGGCUUAGUGAAAAUGCAAAAUCAUUCUCUGCCAGCAGGUACCUAUAUGUACAAAUCACUGCAGUUUCCAGUUGAAAUGAACACUAGAGGCAGUAAAACAACGUUUAUUCCUCUUUAUACAAAGUAUGACUCACACAAAGAGUUUUAAUUAAUAAAGCCUAAUUUUCACAGUUACUUACAGAAUAUUAUAUUAUUGCUUCAAAACAAUUUUAACAUCCUGUGCAAUUUGAAAAGUGAUAUUUUGAUCGUAGCCAUCACAUAUACAGCUUCAUAUGCAUGAGUUUUCUAAUUUAGUAGGUUUGCUCGGUAGCUCACGUGAUACAGCAUUGCACUCGAGUGAUAACGAGUUCCAGUAUGAACCCCGUAAAGCUAUGGUUCCACAAAACAGCUCAAAUCUCCAUAAGAAAGUUAAAAUUGCACAGCUGCAUCAACAAAUGCAUUUUCAUAUCACUUUUGCAUUUGUUAACACUAUCAGUUAGGUUCAGAGUUGGGUUUGGUGUAGGGGAUAUUUCCAACACGAUAGAGCACAACCUUUAGCGACACUCCCCGGAUAUUUGAAUUCUGAAAAGCCGCAAUACGUACCUCGAGCAGCAUAAUAAUAAUGCAGAAAUACGUGUCUGUACCAACGUAAUAAAAAUGUUCCACGGUCACGCAUUGAACGUGUGUUUUAGCGCCACUUUCUGGACAUUUCACAUGCAGUAAGGUACGUAAAUACGGUGCUGCAGAAAUGUAGAGGCACGCAUUUCCAAUGAGCCUGGGUUGAAAAACAAGUUGUUUUGUACAGCUAAAAAUAGCUGGAAACAAAUAACACCGGAAACCAGACCCAUUAAAUUUACCCACUUUUACGGCAAAAAUAAGAUGGAUAUUGCAAUUUUUGUCAUUCUGUCCCCAAAUUUAAGACCUCUUGAAAUAUAUUAAGAAAUCAACUUUUUUAAAAUGCAAUAAUAUUUUAGUUUUUACUGUAUUUUAGAUCAAACAACUGGAGCCUUGGUUAGAACUCUUUUAAAAAAAGAAUUCUUUUGACUUAAUUUUUUAUUUUUAAGUGCAAUUCUACAAUACUCCAUCUUGUUUUUGAUGUGAGAUGCAUUGGCUUGUGUUGAUGCCCAUCUGAGAGGUGACAGAAAUGAGCCAGCUUUGGGCCUUAUCUGUGGUGGGGGGCAUGACUGGCAUUGUUCACAUAGAUGGCAUUUGCAGGGAAUUUCCAACGCAACAUUGCAAAUGUUAUCCUUAUCCUGAAGAAUCACGCAAUAACCUGAGAAUGCUUUAGCUCUGUUUUUGGCACAUUCAGUUCUUUGGCACUGUAGCCAAUAUGCCAACAGCACUGAACAGCAGUGCCUAAGUAGGGCUGGGCGAUAUGGCUGAAAACUGUGUCACGAUAUCAGCGUUUCAUAUCGGUCGAUAUCGAUAAUUAUUGAUAUUUUUUAUGACCCAUUUAAAAUAAGGAACAGGAGAAAAAUAUAUUACAUUUCAACAUUUUUAUUUUAAACUUAACCUUCCUCUGAUCAUAACCCCCCCCAGUUAUUAAGACAGAAAUGUCAACAACCAUGGCAAACUCAAAUAAUUAAAAUGUAAACAUAAUUCUAAAGUCACAAUGAACACUUAACAAUUAUCUCUUAACAGUUAAGGUGCAAAAUGAAAGAAAAUGUAAGAAAUGCUUAAUAAAGUGUAAUAAAAUAGUGCAGUGUUAAAUAUAAACAGAGAAAUAUGCCACUGCCUCCGUUUUAUCUUUGUACCAUUUAGAUUCUUUGUCAUAAGGCAUUGAUGCAGAGUACCUCUCCAUGGUGGUCUGCUGCUUGUGUUCAGGGAUCGAAAUUAACUUUUUUAGUUGGUAGCACUGGUGUUCCCAACUUUAAAUAGUUAGGAGCACCAAAACUAAAUUUAGGAGCACUAAAUGAAUAUUAAGGUUGCAUUAAAUACAACUACACAACCUAUAGCCUACAGCCUAGAUAUGUUAUGUAGUCUAAUUUGCGCACAUUGGGGAGUCGCUCUCUAAACGUGGGGUAUUAAAACUGCUUUUGAAUGCGCGCGCGCGUUUUACUUUCGGUUUCGUUUUAACGAUGGCGCGAAACUCUCGGCGGUGCUGAGCGUCCAUUCUACAAUACAGGAUAUUAAUUUAAUAAUUUUGUCACUCCCACGUUGCUAGGUUAUAGAGCGAGUGCCUUUGUUAAUGCAACCAAACUUGCUUCGCAACCUCUGUUUUCUUCCGACGAAGAAUAAAAAAUAUCGAACGUUUUAUAGAACACAUUUUUUAUUGAUAUCGAUCACGUGUUUAUCGCGAUACAUAUCGUUAUCGUUUUAUCGCCCAGCCCUAUGCCUAAGCACAACAAACAUCAUAUUAAAAGUGAAAGUUCACCUUAAAAGUUCACCUUACUCACUCUCCAGUUGUUCCAGUCCCCUUCUGAUGAAGACAUUUUGUAAAAAAAAAAAAAAAUAAAUAAAAUGGUAAAAUGAAAGUCAAACCAGUUUCGGAGUGACACGAGGGUGAGUAAAUGAUGACUGUGUUGUUAUUUUUAGGGUUGAACUCUUCUUUAAAAGCCAUUUAAAGCUGUUAAAAGGUGAAACAAUGGCUGAGUUUUGCAAUGACAGCUCUUUCAUUGUAUUGCACGGCCUGUGAUUUAACUAAGAAAACCUGAAGAAACAUAUCCGCACUGGUUUUAUCUUACACACGACAAACUAUAGCCCAAGGUAGUGUGUCUUAAUAACAAAAGAAAGCAAAAGGGAGGGAAGAAAGGAUAGGUAUUUCAGGAAAAAAAAUUGGUUCUUUAAUCUUCUUUAAGGUUACAGCACAUCUAGAUCAGGUUUCUGCCUGUUGUAAAAUGUAGGCUGCCAAAAUGACAGUGUUUGCCAAGGCCAGUCUCAUUUGUUUCAGGUGGGACAGAUGCUAUGAGGAGGUCUCUUCUAUUAGACCCUGUGAGAUCACUAAAACAGAACCCAUUUUAACAUGGUGGCAUUCAUCUUUACAGGAAUAAUGGUCUUUUUAAACUAUUGACAGAUUGUUUCAUAUUAAAAUAUUGCUAUGGUUAGAAAUACUUGAAAUAAAAACAUUCUUUUUGUUUGAAUCAUAUUGUGGUUGAGAAAGAAGGAGUUGGACACAGUGGGCCUGCAAUAGCAUGCUUAAGAGAUGCUUUUCUUAAAUAAAUGAAAGAAGGAAUGUUCAGAUAAGAAGGUCACAAAGGUUCCUUAGUAGAGAAAAGUCCACACAAAUAGGAAGGUCCAUUGGAUCUUCAUCUAAAAGGCUAAAAUGAUUGUUGACCCAUAAAAUACAGCCACCACAGGCUACUGCCCUAUUCCUCUUUCGCUGUUUUGUCAUCUGACUUUUGUAAAUGUUGUUGUUGUGCUGUCUUAUCUCAAUGAGCAUAUAUCAUUCAUUGGAAUGAAAAAUAACAUCACAUGAUAACAGGUUCAGGAUAGAGAAAACACAGCUUUCCCAUUCUUGGCUGAAGCUAAAGAUAAUAUCAACACAAUGAAUAAUAGUUACCCAACAUUUUAAUUAAAGAAUUUGCAAUAACAACAACAUGAUUCAAAGAUGUAUUUAUUAUUUUCAUAUACGAAUACUUGUUUCGAUUAGUCAGUCUUGGCAUUUAAAAGUAUGAAAAGUCAUUCAGAAAUAGUUGACUGCUGAAUCAAAUUUUCACAGACAGCAAACUAAAAACCACACAGGAAAAAUGGCGGAGUAGUUUUUCCAGAGUUAAUUUUUUUUUCCUCAAAAAUAGUUGUUUUUGCUCUAUUUUGAGUGUACAGAGUAAAAUUUAUCCGUAGAGUGGGAGCAAAAUUACAGAGUAACUGUGACUCCUCCCCAAUUUGCUCUCAUCCCUUCGUUGAUCCGCCAUUACUGUUAAUCACGGCCAUCGACUGCUGCUGCUUUGGGUUUAGAAGACGGCACACUUCUGCUGGAUGGUAAAGAUGUAAACCAACAACAUUGUCAGAAUGUCAGAAUCAAACCUUUUACAUUUCUAAUGUUUUGGGAACGUGAAAAAGCCCUUCCUGUAGUUUAAAGGAAGAAUCUGCGAAGAGAAUCAUCUCCCUAUUCCUAUGCUUGGUUGACCCCAGGAGCAAGUUUCGUUAUGUUGGAACAGCAAAUUGUCUUCCGUUUUGAUGCCGGUUCACCUUUUGCCACCCUCUCAAGUCACCGCCACGUAAGACCGGGAAAGAUCUCAGCUAGGCAAACGUGAUUGUCUUGUGAAAUUCAUCAAGACUGUUACCAGUAUCCAAGGGCAGUUGGAUGGCAUUCGAGAGAGUCUCCAGCUGUAUCUACUUGUUGUUGGGCUGAUGAGAAGUAGGGUCCAGUCUUGUUUUAUUGUAAUUGUCCAAUAUGCUCUACUCUGUAAGACCUGUCCAUUGUGUAUAGCUUUCUGCAAAACACUGUCUAUGAUAUAGAUGGAGAAACCACCAAAUGAUCAUGAUCACAAGUGUAAUAUUGUAAAUGUAAGUGUAUUAUUUAAAUAGGAGAUUGAAAAAAUAAAACUGUGAGACAUGA